ACGUGAGCAGUUCUUGCGUUUUGCCGACGCUUUCCUGAGCGCGUCGAGUAUUUUAAAGACGGGCCACUUGCUGAUGGAAGGAGGACCUUUGGUAGCCAUGCGAGCACUCCGGCGGAUCGCCGAGACCGGCGAGGCGCUGUCAUCCUUUCCCUCCGUCUGGAGAUCUGGCAAGGACACAUCGUCCUGGAAGAAGUCUUCAUCCUGGCCGACGAACGACAUGCUUAUCGCCAAACACAAGGUGGCUAACAAGGCGAGCUGUCAUCAGGAGGGGAGCAGAACAAUGUGUGUCCACGGCAACGUGUCAAUAAAGUGACUAACAGACACUCCAAGGAGUCGCUGUUCAUUUUUCUGAGUCCAAAUAUGGUCUGCUACCGUAUCGGAAACAAGAUGGCGACACAAGAUGGCGACGAGUGUAACGCUGAACUAAUGGGAAGUCCACAAACCAAUGGGUGACGUCACGGUGACUACAUCCAUUAUUUAUAUAUAGUCUAUGUAAUUAAUCAAUGGUUCUGUUCCUUUGUUGGUGAUUUAGAUUUUUAGCAAAUGUUUAGUAAUUUGUAGUAGCCUACUGUGGCUUUGACUGUCUAUUUUUGAAGUGGUUAGUAGCUACAUGGGAGUAUAU
Long non-coding RNA from Centropristis striata (black sea bass), 622 nucleotides. RefSeq lists it as uncharacterized. The transcript is spliced from 3 exons. Lineage: Eukaryota; Metazoa; Chordata; Actinopteri; Perciformes; Serranidae. The record is from RefSeq and is a predicted model, not a curated record.